CCUACGGGAGGCUGCAGUCGAGAAUCAUUCACAAUGGGGGAAACUCUGAUGGUGCGACGCCGCGUGGGGGAAUGAAGGUCUUCGGAUUGUAAACCCCUGUUAUGUGGGAGCAAAUUAAAAAGAUAGUAUCACAAGAGGAAGAGACGGCUAACUCUGUGCCAGUAGCCGCGGUAAUACAGAGGUCUCAAGCGUUGUUCGGAAUCACUGGGCGUAAAGCGUGCGUAGGCUGUUUCGUAAGUCGUGUGUGAAAGGUGCGGGCUCAACCCGCGGACGGCACAUGAUACUGCGAGACUAGAGUAAUGGAGGGGGAGCCGGAAUUCUCGGUGUAGCAGUGAAAUGCGUAGAGAUC
This 349-nucleotide ribosomal RNA is filed under the name uncultured bacterium. RNAcentral's name for it is "partial 16S ribosomal RNA". It matches the Rfam family "Bacterial small subunit ribosomal RNA", at positions 338 to 698 of the family's 1533-position model. The record is from RNAcentral.